GGUCAGAUGGCCGAGUGGUCUAAGGCGCGAGAUUCAGGUUCUCGUCUCUUCGGGGGCGUGGGUUCGAAUCCCACUCUGAUCA
This is a transfer RNA of Botryobasidium botryosum FD-172 SS1, 82 nucleotides long. It matches the Rfam family "tRNA". Rfam says of the family: Transfer RNA (tRNA) molecules are approximately 80 nucleotides in length. Their secondary structure includes four short double-helical elements and three loops (D, anti-codon, and T loops). Further hydrogen bonds mediate the characteristic L-shaped molecular structure. tRNAs have two regions of fundamental functional importance: the anti-codon, which is responsible for specific mRNA codon recognition, and the 3' end, to which the tRNAs corresponding amino acid is attached (by aminoacyl-tRNA synthetases). tRNAs cope with the degeneracy of the genetic code in two manners: having more than one tRNA (with a specific anti-codon) for a particular amino acid; and 'wobble' base-pairing, i.e. permitting non-standard base-pairing at the 3rd anti-codon position. Lineage: Eukaryota; Fungi; Basidiomycota; Agaricomycetes; Cantharellales; Botryobasidiaceae. The record is from Rfam.